RNAcentral lists this RNase P RNA (491 nucleotides) under Natronorubrum bangense. Its description in RNAcentral is "RNase P RNA component". The stretch from base 141 to 491 matches the Rfam family "Archaeal RNase P". Rfam says of the family: Ribonuclease P (RNase P) is a ubiquitous endoribonuclease, found in archaea, bacteria and eukarya as well as chloroplasts and mitochondria. Its best characterised activity is the generation of mature 5'-ends of tRNAs by cleaving the 5'-leader elements of precursor-tRNAs. The record is from RNAcentral. Lineage: Archaea; Methanobacteriati; Methanobacteriota; Halobacteria; Halobacteriales; Natrialbaceae.
GGGAGAGAGAGCCUGGCUGCCGCGGUGAUCAACUGGCAACGGGGCAAUCACAGAUGACUGUUGCUCGUCUUUCGAGACGUGCAACACACCCGCGUUGGCCCCCCUCGGGUGGCCGACGCACCAACGUGGUCCAUCCCUCCGGGAUGUGCCACGCUCGCGAGGAAAGUCCCCCCACCUGUUCGGGCAGGUGACCGGGCGCAAGCCCGGAGCGGAAGACCGCUGGCUCUGGAACAGAAACGACACGUCUCGGCCCGACCGAUGAUGCGUGCGAACCCAACCGAGAGGACGGGGAGUUGACCUGCAGAGGGUUGGGCUGGUCGAACGAUCCGUUCGACACCCCACACAGACGGCCGAGGAUCGAUGGAACGGCGAAUCCUCACCGGUGCAAGUCCAUGCCGUGGUAGCCCGAACACCCCGCGGCCUCGCCGCGGACGGCAUGGACGCUCAGCCGAAUGCCGGGAUGAACAGAAGGGGGCUUACUCCUCUCACCC